Molecule: non-coding RNA, 188 nt
Filed under: Peptacetobacter hominis
Lineage: Bacteria; Bacillati; Bacillota; Clostridia; Peptostreptococcales; Peptostreptococcaceae
Description: 6S / SsrS RNA
Rfam family: 6S / SsrS RNA
About the family: E. coli 6S RNA was the first non coding RNA to be sequenced, but its function was unknown until recently. It consists of 184 nucleotides that fold into an extended hairpin structure with a large single-stranded internal bulge. The 6S RNA specifically associates with RNA polymerase holoenzyme containing the sigma70 specificity factor.
Source: Rfam by way of RNAcentral
GAAAUUCUGGAGCAUUCGACAGGGUCUUUCUAAAUUCAACCGACAAAGUUAAUUCGGGAGUUCGGGUUUAUAUGAAAGUAUGAUAUAGCUUCUUUUUAAGGAGAAAAUCAGAAAUGAUAUAGCAGGACACCCACCUGGGAGUAUCUCGGGUAUGAAUUUACAGUUACCCACGGUGUUCUGGGAAUAAA